CAGGGCUAAAAAUCGGUCAGUGUGUAAA
This 28-nucleotide non-coding RNA is filed under the name Mus musculus (house mouse). Lineage: Eukaryota; Metazoa; Chordata; Mammalia; Rodentia; Muridae. The record is from RNAcentral.